UCUAGGUUUACGCCUAUGAGCAUGAGACUAUAUAUACUCUGUAAUAUCAAGAUCAAUAACACAAGUUAACAUUCAGCAAUUCACAAGUUUGUCAUGGUAUCAGAGCAAGAUCCGUUCCUCUAAAUUUGCUGGUUUCUUUUUCUAAAAGAGCUGCCUCUGUUCUUCAUAUACGAGAAACAUAGCCGCUUAUUCAAGAUCACUGAUUCAAUCAAGUUUUGCACAAGAUGUCUAUCACCGAGGCAGUUGCAGAACCUAAAAGACGGACGAUCUCACUAUAUGAUCUCACGUCUGGAGAUAACCCAGGAGCUGUUAUUUCAUCCCCGUUGCUAAACGGUACGAACUACGAGGAAUGGGCGAUUAAUUUACGUAUGGCACUGAGUUCACGCAAAAGGUUUGGUUUCAUUGAUGGGAGUAUCCCGAAACCAGCAGCGAACUCUCCUCAACUUGAAGAUUGGAUUGCUAAUAAUCAUCUGCUGGUGGGUUGGAUAAACAAGACCAUAGAACCUAAACUCAGAUCAUCAAUUUCGACAAGAGAAGUAGCAAAGGAACUCUGGGAUAUCAUCAAAAAGAGAUUCUCAAUGAAAAGUGGUGCUCGACUGCAGCAACUACGUAACUCCUUAACUACAUGUAAACAGAACGGGUCAUCAGUAGAUGACUACUUUGGAAGGCUGACAAGGAUUUGGGACGGCAUUAGGGAAUGUAUGAACACAAAACAGUGUAGUUGUGGGAAGUGUGAGUGCGACCUUAACACAGCACAUGAGACAGAACGUGAGAUGCUUCGGGUUCAUGAUUUCCUAUCGGGUCUUGACGACUCAGCUCAUGGUGUCAUUCGCUCUCAGAUAUGUGCGAUAACACCUCUCCCAGACCUUGACAGCGUGUAUCAAACUAUAGUUCAGAAUGAAACUAUUCGGUCUACUGUGGUUCAAGAAACUCAAGUAAUGAGCUGUGCUUCUCAAGUUAAUCGGGACCAGACCCAUCGUCCGACUAAUAGCUUGCAGACAUCGUCAUCAUAUCCUGGCAACAAGGACCUAUCGAGGAAGUGUACGGUUUGUGGGCGUAUGGGUCAUGAAGCUAGCGCCUGCUUUCGAGUGGUCGGUUAUCCAGAGUGGUAUGGAACUUCUGGUCGUGGCCGUGGUGGAACAAACAAAGGUCGGGUAUGCAGCCUCGUGCUAAUAGCACACAGAUCGUUGGGGCUAAUGCUGCUGCGGUUUCAGGGCCAGUGACACUUACAGAAGCUGAUCGUCAGGGUCUCACUGGUAUAUCGGAUGAGCAGUGGAAGAUUAUUCAAAAAAUGGUGGGACAGAAACCAAAGACAGACACUCUGAGCGGUAAGAAUGAUUGUGUUGAAUGGAUAUUAGACACAGGUGCGACCCACCAUAUGACUGGAAGAGUCGAAUGUCUGGAGGAUGUUCGCCUCAUAAUUCCAGUGUCAGUAAGGUUACCCACGGGUUUGAAUGUUCUUGCCUCGAGACAGGGGACUGUUCUCUUAAAUCCACAUCUUACUCUUCAUAAUGUUUAUCUUGUUGAUGGAUUCGACACCAACCUGAUUUCUUUUGGUCAAUUGGUGACUGAUAAUGGUUUGGUGGGACAAAUAACUGAUAAAUUGUUAUUGUUACAGGACCGCAUUACGAGGACGCUGAUUGGGAUGGGUGAAAGAGAGAGAGAGAGAGAGAGAGAGAGAGAGAGAGGGACUGUAUCGGAUGAGGGUUGCUGAGACGGUUACUUCGCUGACUACUAGUGUGGGUGAAGAAUCAAUCUUGUGGCAUCAUCGUUUGGGACACCGUCUCACCGUAUCGUUAGUUUGCUUCCUGGUGUUUCUAGUAAUAAAGAUUCAUUUAAGAAUUGUGAUGUUUUAUUUCGCGCUAAACAAACUCGUCAAUGUUUCCCAGACAGUUCGACUUGUUCUAAUGCAAUUUUUGAUUUGAUUCAUUGUGAUUUAUGGGGUCCAUACCGUACUACGGCUUUAUGUGGCACUCGUUAUUUCUUAACCAUUGUUGAUGAUCAUUCCAGAGCAGUUUGGGUAUAUCUUUUGAAAGAUAAGACUUCUGUCUCACGUCAUUUACAAGACUUUGUCGCGUUGAUUCAAACACAGUUUUCGAAGAAAAUCAAGACAAUAAGGAGUGACAAUGGAACAGAAUUUCUGUGUCUCUCCAGAUUUUUUCAAGAAAAUGGGAUUCAACAUGAAACAUCAUGUGUAUAUACUCCACAACAGAAUGGGAGAGUGGAACGUAAACACAAACAUAUCCUCAAUAUUGCUCGCGCAUUGAGGUUUCAAGCACAUCUUCCAAUCGAGUAUUGGGGCGAGUGUGUUAAAACGGCAGUCUACAUUCUCAACAGAACACCAUCACAGCUGCUUAAUGGGAGAACACCUUUCGAAAGAUUAUAUGGUCGGAUCCCAUCAUUUAAGCAUCUUCGUGUUUUUGGAUGCUUAGCAUAUGCGCACAAUCAGCAUCAUCAUGGCGACAAAUUUGCAACUCGCAGUCGACGUUGUGCGUUUCUUGGAUAUCCGAUGGGGAAGAAAGGAUGGGUGUUACUUGACAUGGACACAGAAAAGGUGUUCAUUUCCAGAGAUGUGGUGUUUUGUGAGGAUCAAUUUCCUUUUGCUGCUACCUCUCAGACCUUACCAAUAAUAGAGCCAAUGCCAGAGAUAGGUGAGGCAGCGGCUGAUGACUCUGAUUCAGAGGUUGCAGAGACAGUAGAAGAACAUGUUGAGGAAAUAGAGACGACAUCAGCCAAUGGAACUACUAUGGACCAGACAACGGUAGUGGCUCCUGAACCACAUAUUAACACAAUCAACACUCCUCUUGUUGAAGAAGUCGGAGCAUCUCAACAAGAAAUAGUUGACGUUCCAAAUCUGGGCAGAGGACACAGACCGAAGCUUCCAUCGUCUCAUUUACGUGAUUACGUGGUCAACACAGUUUCUCUUGAUUCCUCUCUCUCUCUCACUCUGCAAAAUCACCAUCUCAACAGCCGUCCUCAGGUUCGUUAUAUCCGAUCUCUGAUGUACUUACUUGUGAAAAAAUUUCUUCUCAACAUCGCAGCUUCUUGGCGUCACUGGAAUCUCAUCAUAUACCGCGUAGCUUUCAGGAAGCUGUCAAAGUGAUAAAAUUUGGAAUGAUUCAAUGGGUACUGAGAUCACUGCUCUAGAAGAACAACACACAUGGGAUUUAGAGCCUCUUCCUCCGAAUAAGAAAGCGCUAGUCAGAAAAUGGAUUUAUACGAUCAAAUAUAAUUCUGAUGGUACUGUGUUACGUCCCAAAUCGAGACUAGUUGUCUGUGGAAACAGGCAGAAACAUGGGGUCGAUUACACGGAUACAUUCUCUCCUGUUGCAAAGAUGACGACAGUUCGGGUCUUCUUGGAUUAUGCUGCUAAAAAGAAUCAUGAAGUUCAUCAGAUGGAUGUUCACAAUGCAUUCCUUCAUGGAGAACUACAUGAGGAGGUGUAUAUGAAAAUCCCACAAGGUUUUCGAUCACCUAAUGAGACUCGGGUGUGUCGCCUUCGCAAAUCUCUUUAUGGUCUCAAACAGGCUCCUCGCUGUUGGUUUGCCAAACUUAAAGAUGCUCUCCUCAACUAAGGUUUCACGCAAACAAAGUCGGAUUACUCAUUUUUUGUGUAUUUUAAACAUGGUGUUUCCAUCAGAUUACUAGCUUAUGUCGAUGACUUGAUCAUCUCUGGGAGCAGUCCAGCCGAUAUUAAGUUACUUAAGGACUACUUGUCUGUGUGUUUUCACAUGAAAGACUUGGGGUUUCUCAAAUAUUUUUUGGGAAUCGAAGUAGCUAGGAGCGCUACUGGGUUCUAUUUAUGUCAAAGGAAGUAUGCAACUGAUAUUGUCACAGAGAUGGGAUUGCUUGGCUGCAAGCCUGCUGGAUCUCCAAUGGAUCAGAAUCAUUAACUAGGUCGAGUUAAAGGUCCGAUUAUUACUGAACCAGAACGCUAUCGUAGACUGGUGGGUAGACUGAUAUAUCUAGCUGCGACACGUCCAGAUCUUACCUACUCAGUGCACAUCCUUUCUCAGUUUAUGCAAGCACCGAUGGAAGAGCAUUGGCUUGCAGCAUUGAAAGUGGUGAGAUAUUUAAAGGGGACGCUUGGUCAAGGCAUUAUUCUCGAUGAAAAGUCAUCUCUUCAUGUUACUGGUUGGUGUGAUUCAGACUGGGGAAGCUGCUCUACUUCUCGUCGCUCACUCUCAGGUUGGAUAGUUCAGUUGGGAACAUCUCCAAUUUCAUGGAAAACAAAGAAACAGGACACAGUAUCAUGUUCCUCCGCAUAAACUGAAUAUCGUGCUAUGGGGGCAAUUACUAAGGAAUUUAUAUGGUUUAAAGGGUUACUCAAGGAAAUGGGCGUUAAUCAUCCAGAGCCAAUGACGUUGCAUUGUGACAGUCAGCCUGCUAUAUAUAUCAGUUCCAAUCCAGUCUUUCAUGAACGUACGAAGAACAUUGAGAUUGAAUGUCACUUUAUUAGAGAUGAGUUUGUUAAAGGAGUUCUCAAGCCGACUUAUGUAACAACGAAAGAACAGCUUGUCGACAUUUUCACUAAAGCUUUGGGACGCAAGGAGUUUGACAUGUUUUUCUCCAAGUUGGGCAUUCGAAACUUACAUGCUCCAACUUGAGGGGGGGGGGGAUAUUACGAGAGAUAUGAAGCUACCAUAUACUCAUAUAUAUCUACUUUAUUAGAUAGUUUCCUAUUUGAUAGAUUUACAUUAUUCUCUCUAGGUUUACGAGCAUGAGACUAUAUAUACUCUGUAAUAUCGAGAUCAAUAACACAAGUUAACAUUCAGCAAUUCAUAAGUUUGUCGUGAUAAGAUUAUUUUGAAUAUUAAUGCCUUCCAUGUCGGGGUCUUGCAAAUCUCCUGUAAUGUUAAACCAUUCUUGUCCCAUAAAACAAAUCUUCCUCUUUGCAAGCUCCAUCCACGUAACACUCCAAAACUUAUUCAUAUGGGCGUUCGUAUGAGCCUCAAUAGCAUGGAACAUUCCAAAAAA
RNAcentral lists this long non-coding RNA (4977 nucleotides) under Brassica napus (rape). Its description in RNAcentral is "long non-coding RNA (BNAP_LNC007820)". Lineage: Eukaryota; Viridiplantae; Streptophyta; Magnoliopsida; Brassicales; Brassicaceae. The record is from RNAcentral.